Molecule: long non-coding RNA, 1317 nt
Filed under: Sparus aurata (gilthead seabream)
Lineage: Eukaryota; Metazoa; Chordata; Actinopteri; Spariformes; Sparidae
Description: lncRNA (ENSSAUG00010001058.1)
Source: RNAcentral
CUUGGAAAAGCGCUCAGGGAAAAAAAUGCGCUCGCGGAUGUUUGAUUUUUGAUUUGAUUUGAUGUUUGAUUUAUGGCAGUAUUCUAUGCCCAUACUCCUUCCUCUUUCUGUGAGGAUCCAGACUGAUGUGAAAUGAAAUCCCACACUGAGGGAUUUGUGCUGAGUUUCCUAAAGUACAACCUGAUUUAUAUGACUUGAACCAAAUAAGAUGUAUUAAUGUAUGUAAGUACCACUUCAUAUAUACAAAUGAGUAUUCUUCUAUUUUUGAUUCUUCCUGCAGGUGUAGAACGAGUCCCUGUACCUACAGAUGCAUUCUACAUGGUAGAAUGUCCAGGUGGAUCAAACCCAAAUGAUGCCACAUAUUACACCAUCCCCGACCUUCAACCAAUGAUAAAGGCGACCGGUAAAGACUUUACAGACAUUUAUAACCAAAUAUUCUGUUGAUAUACUUCUGAAGACAAAACAGUUCAUAUUCAUCAUAUUAUCAUUUUUCCUCACAGAAACUUCUGGACCUGACGAGUCCCCGUACUCUGAGAUCUGCGAGCCUUUCAUCGGUGGAAAUAAUAAUGAAGGUAACUUUAAGCUUCAGCUCCUCUGUGAAGUUUAUAACAUGAGAUGCUAAACGAGGCCGAUUGUAUUUUUUGCCAUUCCAAAUAAAGCAAAAUAAACGAGAGAACGAACAAAGUGGAAAUCUACAAAAACUACCGAUGGGAAUUUUCCAUUCAAACGACCAUUUGAGUGUAAAAUUUGAGAUAACAGGAAUAAAAGUCUACAUCAUCAAAUAAUGAAUGAAAAGUAAUUUUUUGUGAUUGUCUCUGGAUCCACAGGUUCUUCACAGCCGACUGACAACACGUACUGUUUACUGCAGAACCCCAAAACAUCUGGAAAGCAUCCAAAGUGACCAAUCAGCUGUUUGUGAUGUCAGACAUGACUUGGGUUGAUGAUGUCAGUUGUUUUAUUUAAACUGUGAACAUGUAUAAUAUUUGACUUGUGUUUUAUGUAAAUAUUAGAUAGAUACAUUUUUUUACAAUACAACAUUUGUUAUUUUUAGAUUCUUACCUGUCAAACCGACCCAGUCUGCAAAAUAAAUGUUUGUACAGUUCUGGAAAACCGCAAAUAACCUGAAGCUUUUAUUUCUUUAUGUUGCAACUUUACGCUUGUUUACGUUUGUAUUUCUCUCUUGUCACAAUGUUGUGCUGAUGCUCUGGUUGGAUUUGGACAGAAAAACCACUUCAUCACAUUGUGGUUUGGCUUAAAGUACCUGCUCUGGUCGCUACAAACUUGUCUGAAAAUGUUGCAGUUUCCUUAACGACGCCU